This is a small nucleolar RNA of Homo sapiens (human), 104 nucleotides long. RefSeq annotates it as small nucleolar RNA, C/D box 114-4. The record is from RefSeq and is marked validated. The transcript has a single exon. Lineage: Eukaryota; Metazoa; Chordata; Mammalia; Primates; Hominidae.
AAUGAGAAUUAAGCUAAACAGUCCUAAGCCUGAGCCAGUGAUGAAAACUGGUGGCAUAGAAGUCAAGGAUGCUGAAUAAUGUGUGUCUAGAACUCUGAGGUUCA